UCCGGUUUGUCACCGGCAGUCACCUUAGAGUGCCCAACUGAAUGCUGGCAACUAAGAUCAAGGGUUGCGCUCGUUGCGCCACUUAAGGCAACACCUCACGGCACGAGCUGACGACGACCAUGCAGCACCUGUGCGGGCUCCCGUAGGAGGACCGGGUUUCCACGGCUUCACCCCGCAUGUCAAGCCCUGGUAAGGUUCUUCGCGUCGCUUCGGAUUAAGCCACAUGCUCCGCCGCUUGUGCGGGCCCCCGUCAAUUCCUUUGGGUUUUAGCCUUGCGGCCGUACUCCCCAGGCGGGAUGCUUAAAGCGUUAGCUGCGCCACUGACGAGCAAGCUCGCCAACGGCUAGCAUCCAUCGUUUACGGCGUGGACUAC
Molecule: unclassified non-coding RNA, 373 nt
Filed under: uncultured bacterium
Lineage: Bacteria
Description: contains 16S-23S intergenic spacer region
Source: RNAcentral